GUAUAGAAAGUUACUUCGGUACAUUCGGUGACAGGUGGUGCAUGGUUGUCGUCAGCUCGUGUCGUGAGAUGUAGGGUUAAGUCCGCUAACGAGCGCAACCCUCGCUGUGUGUUAUAUGUGUCACACGGGACUGCCGGUCUUAAGCCGGAGGAAGGUGGGAUGAUGUCAAGUCAGCAUGGCCUUUAUAUCCUGGGCUACACACACGCUACAAUGGCCAACACAAUAGGUUGCUAAGCCGCGAGGUGGCGCCAAUCCAUAAAGUUGGUCUCAGUUCAGAUUGUAGGCUGCAACCCGCCUGCAUGAAGAUGGAGUUGCUAGUAACCGCAGGUCGGCUAUACUGCGGUGAAUACGUUCCCGGGGCCUU
Molecule: ribosomal RNA, 364 nt
Filed under: uncultured Leptolinea sp.
Lineage: Bacteria; Bacillati; Chloroflexota; Anaerolineae; Anaerolineales; Anaerolineaceae
Description: bacterial SSU rRNA
Rfam family: Bacterial small subunit ribosomal RNA
Source: RNAcentral